AGUAGGUUAGUAUCGCGCAAGAUGUCAGUAUCCUUUCUUCGUAUGCAAUGACGAAGUCGCACUUUUGUAGUAAGCGUGUUUCGUUGUUUAGUUUCUCUAGUCUGCCAGUGUCGUGCAAUUUGUUGUCGCCUAAGGUCGCUCAAAUCGACGAUGCGAUUGAGUAAAAGCCACUUGUUGGGACUAGUGCCUGGAAAGAAAUUAGGAUCAGAGCUGCAUGCGAUUCGUUUGUUCCCAUUUAACGGGCGGUUGCUUAGCUCGCAGAUAUUUUCUCGUUUAUCUGGACAACGACGAGCAACGUGAAUGAUGAUGAUGAUGGUGGUUUCGUUUUCUCGGACGACGCAAGAGGUAUGGAGAAUAAAACGUAUGAGCGUGAGAGAUCAGUGAGCCGUGUGAUCGAUGAUCGAUGAACGAUGAUCCAUGAUGCCUGGCCACGUUUCUGUCAGUCGUUCGGUCGUUGAUCGUCGCCAUUUCCAUCCAUCGACACUUCCAUUGUUGACGACAUCGAACAACACGAGAGACAUCCACCGAUUUUUAACGGACAAUCGUAUUAAUGUCACGAUGGAGUGCAAGCAAAGGUGGAGGGCUCUUUUCAUAAGGAUACGAGACGGAUCCUCCAGGAUGGCGUUUCUGGCUUCUGAGAAAGGCCUUGGAGGGAAAUAUUCGCGGACCGCCAAAUAUUUACACCUCCGACAAAGUUAAUGUGUCUUUACAUCCUUCCUUUUCGUUCGUUUAUUUAUUUUCGACUUUCAAAGUUUUAACUUUUAUCUUAACUUAUUCGUCUAUCCAACAGGCAGAAGCCAAAAGCACCUGGUUACAAAUUACUGACAAGAACUUUGACAAGAAUUAUCAACUAAAGGAAGAAAACUCCGAGAACGAGCGGUUAUAAUUAAUUAAUUAAUUGGAUUCAACGACGAUAAUGCUUUCGUUCCACAUUCUCAUGCGUUUCUUCGUUCAUUCUCUUUUUCGUUCUCACUCAGGUCUUUUUUGCUUUCAUUCGUAUCUUUUUGUCGUUUCCGUUUUUUUUUCUUUUUUUUACUUUUUGGCACUAGAAUUUUUAUAAUUAUAUUUUCUCUCUCGUUCGUAAA
This is a long non-coding RNA of Bombus impatiens (common eastern bumble bee), 1085 nucleotides long. RefSeq lists it as uncharacterized. NCBI's taxonomy places the organism in Eukaryota, Metazoa, Arthropoda, Insecta, Hymenoptera, Apidae. The record is from RefSeq and is a predicted model, not a curated record. The transcript has 2 exons.